Cadophora malorum is the source of this 100-nucleotide non-coding RNA. Lineage: Eukaryota; Fungi; Ascomycota; Leotiomycetes; Helotiales; Ploettnerulaceae. The record is from the annotation of a GenBank genome assembly.
AGUGGGUUGGCCUAGUGGUAAGGCGUCUCUCUCACAAUUCUCUUUGGUACGUAGAGUAGGAGAGCAGAGAAAAUCAUGAGUUCGAUCCUCAUACUCACUA